CUUCUUCUGGCGGAGCUCAGCCACCGCCUGGACCAUGGUGGAGCGCUUCUUCUCGUUGGCAAUCUUGAGAAGCUCCGACUGCGCCUUCUCCUUGGUGAUGGAGAGAUCCUCGGGCAGGGUCUCGGUGAGGGCGGAGAGGUCAGAGGAGCCAGAGCCGUCGGUGAGGCGCUUCUCGGCGUUCUUACGGAACAUGGACAUGCGCUUGUCCAUCGAGAUGUUGUUCUCGAUGUCGACGCCCUCCUCCUUCAUCUUGCGGAUGUCGGCGAUGGUGAGGGUGCCCAUGGCAAUCUGCGCCUGCAUGUCCUGGAGCAUCUUCUUGGAAGUGAUGCCCUUGAUGAUUUUCUGCGCAUCCGCGUCGGGGAGGGAGAGGCCCUGCUGGAUCUCCUUGAGCUUCUCGGCGCGGUCGGCGGUGAGGCCGCGGCCGUCGCCGAGAAUCUGCUCAGCCUGCGCGCGGUACGCCUUGUCGGCGAGGCCCUUGUGCACGGAGCCAACCUCAAACUGGUUGAGGCCGAGGAUGUCGCCGAGCUGGGAGAGGCGGGUAAACUCGGACUGGUCACGCUCGAUGGUAAUCUGCACGCCCAUGGGCGCGUUCACGGUGUCGCCCUGCAUGCAGAACAUGAGGUAGUCCUGGUAGAUACCCUGGGCGGUGACGCUGUCGACCUCGUCCUUGAGGUUGAUCUCCUUCUGGUAAGCUGGCUGCUCGACCUUGGCGGCGAUCUCCUCAGCCUCCUUCUUGUCCUCCUCAGCCUUCUUGUCCUCACCCUCCUCACCGUCAGCCUUGGCCUCGACGUCCUUCUUCUCCUCGCCGUCCUUGGCCUCCUCACCCUCCUCCUUCUUCUCCUCGGACUCAGCCUUGGCCUCAGCCUCCUUCUUCUCGUCCUCCUCCUCCUGCUUGGCCGCCGCCUGAGCCUCCUUGAGCAGCUCCGCGAGCUCCUUGGCGGCAUCCUCGGCAGCCGCCUUGGUCACGUCAGACACCAUGGGGGUGACCACGGUGCUGUUGAAGUAGACCAUCUUGCGAAUCUCCUUGCUCUGCUCGAUCUUGUUCUGCUUGGUGCGCGCGACGCGGAUGUACGCCAUGAACGCCUUGACAACCUCGUUCUUGAGAAUCUUGAGCGCCAUGUCAUCGGUGAGUCGCACGGCGUCCUUGGCGCGCUUGCACCUGUCGCGGAGCUCGGGGGUGAAGGACUCGGUGCCCACGGAGAGGGCGCUGAGCACGGCGGACUUGUAGACGGCGCCGCAGAUGUCCAUGGUGCACUCGUCGACGACAUCCUUGGGGACGCAGAGGAGGCGGCGGACGCGGCCGAGAGCCUCGACGUCUUCGUCGGUGAGCUUCUUCUUCUCCAUGACCUGCUCCAUCUUGGUGCGGUAGUUCUCCUUGUUGACAUCGGCGGCC
RNAcentral lists this long non-coding RNA (1393 nucleotides) under Micromonas commoda. Its description in RNAcentral is "long non-coding RNA (MCOM_LNC000274)". Lineage: Eukaryota; Viridiplantae; Chlorophyta; Mamiellophyceae; Mamiellales; Mamiellaceae. The record is from RNAcentral.